RNAcentral lists this transfer RNA (71 nucleotides) under Eupodium kaulfussii. RNAcentral describes it as "tRNA-Gly". It matches the Rfam family "tRNA". From Rfam's summary of the family: Transfer RNA (tRNA) molecules are approximately 80 nucleotides in length. Their secondary structure includes four short double-helical elements and three loops (D, anti-codon, and T loops). Further hydrogen bonds mediate the characteristic L-shaped molecular structure. tRNAs have two regions of fundamental functional importance: the anti-codon, which is responsible for specific mRNA codon recognition, and the 3' end, to which the tRNAs corresponding amino acid is attached (by aminoacyl-tRNA synthetases). tRNAs cope with the degeneracy of the genetic code in two manners: having more than one tRNA (with a specific anti-codon) for a particular amino acid; and 'wobble' base-pairing, i.e. permitting non-standard base-pairing at the 3rd anti-codon position. The record is from RNAcentral. RNAcentral also lists the same sequence under 1 other name. Lineage: Eukaryota; Viridiplantae; Streptophyta; Polypodiopsida; Marattiales; Marattiaceae.
GCGGGUAUGGUUUAAUGGUAAAAUGUCUCCUUGCCAUGGAGAAGACGCGGGUUCGAUUCCUGCUAUCCGCA